This 15592-nucleotide long non-coding RNA is filed under the name Hordeum vulgare. Its description in RNAcentral is "long non-coding RNA (HVUL_LNC010990)". Lineage: Eukaryota; Viridiplantae; Streptophyta; Magnoliopsida; Poales; Poaceae. The record is from RNAcentral.
CACCAGGCCCUGCGACAGGCCAUUUUCCUACUGCCAGGGACCUCAGCGGUAGGUUGUCAUACCCUACCGCCAAAGGUCUGGCGGUAAGAAAAGGGCCAGAUCCAAACAAAUUCACGAUCAGGGUCAAAUCCGGCUAAACUUAGGCAAAAGGGUUAAAAGAGUGAAUUUGUCCGCCAAGAGGAGGCUGAGGCGUUGGCGGUCUAGCAGAGCUCGAGGUCCCACCAUUACCGCGUCUGUGCUUAUUUCCGCACCGUGACCAUGAACCGCGCUAGAGGUGUUGGGGUUGACAGGUGAGGCAGGAGCGUGGUGGGGCACGUGACAACUAACGCAUGGGUGCUCUAGUGGCACACCGCCUAUUCAACGUGGAGAUCUGUGAGCAGUAGGAAUGACCAUGCGUGCAACAAGAAGGUAAGGGGAUUACGUGUCAUGAGGUGGGGGAUGACAACAUGAUAUUGGUGGUUUAGACCGCGCAACAGAUGGAGGAUUUGUCGGGUUUCUGUGACCGACUGGCCAAGAUCGCGAAGUUGACCGGUGUAUACCUUGAGAUUGGUGCAUGAUGGGCAUGUCCCUUGCACAAUGGUGUGGUACUCCACAUUGGUGUGGAUGACACGGGAGAGUUGGUUGGCCCAGAAGAUGGCAUAGACGACAGCCCACACAGCGGCAGAAGUGUCCUCGGGUUACAUGACCAUGUCGAGGAGGUCGGGCGAGAGGGUGAUGGAGAGCGAGUGCACAACGACGUGACCCGCCAUCACCCAGUCUAGGUCAUUGGAGCGAUGUAGUGCGCUGGUGCCGAUGUGGUCGUGGAGACCAAACAUGCCGAGCACGGUGUCGAAGUGCCGACGCCAUUGGCCGUAGUUGUCGGCGGCAAGAUCAAAGACCACCAGACCAUCUUGAGAACACGGGUGGGGGCAUGAUGUGCCAUGGCUACCGGAGCGGCAGGGGUCAUGUCUACUACAUAACUUUAUUCUUGUAGGCUAUGUUGGGCAUCCAAGUAUAGAGUUUUGUAGGACAGUAGCAAUUUUUCUCUCAAGUGGAUGACCUAAGGUUUAUCAAUCGGUGGGAGGUAUAGGAUGAAGAUGGUAUCUCUCAAACAAGCAUGCAAUUAGAUACAAAAAAUCUCUUGUGUCCCCAACACACCCAAUACAAUGGCAAAUUGUAUAGGUGCACUAGUUCUAUGAAGAGAUGGUGAUACAAGUGUAGUAUGGAUAGUAGAUAUAGGUAUUGUAAUCUGAAAAUAUAAAAACAACAAGGUAGCAAGUGCAAAACAUCGAGCAAAAUGUUGUAUAAAUGGCCGGAAAUAAGGCCUAGGGUUCACACUUUAACUAGUGCAAUCUCUCAACAAUGCUAUCAUAAUAGAAUCAUAUGAUCAUCCCUCAACGUGCAACAAAGAAUCACUCCAAAGUUUCUAUCUAGCGGAGAACAAUAAGACGAAAUUGGUGUAGGUAGUAGAACCACCUUAAAGUUAUUCUUUCUGAUCAAUCUUGUGAGCUAUUCCUAUAAGUGUCACAAACAACCCUAGAGUUCGUACUAUAAUAACACAUAUGAUACAUAUCAAUCAACCUUAAUGUCACCUAGAUAGUCCAAUGUCACCUCAAGUAUCCGUGGGUAAAUUAUGCGACAUGCAUCAAACAAUUUCAGAUCUAACAUAUUCAAUCCAACACAAAGAACUUUAAGGAGCACCCCUAGAUUUCUAUCGGAAAACAUAGUAUGAAAAUGCGCAAUCAACACCUAUGCAUAGAUCCCCACCGGAAUCCGCAAGUUGAUGUCAUAACGUAUAUCAAGCGAAUCACUUGAAUUCCCUAAUGUCACUACGGGUAUCCGCAUGCAAGACAUACAUCAAGUGUUCUCAAACCAAAGUAUUCAAUCCAACAUAACGAGAUCUUAAAGGGAAAGAUUCAAUUCAUCACAACAAGAUGGCAAGGGAAGAACACCAUAUGAUCCAACUAUAUUAACAACGCCCGUGAUACAUCAAGAUCGUGCCAUCUCAAGAACACGAGAGAGAGAGAGAUUGAACACAUAGCUACUGAUACAUACCCUUAACCCCGAGGGUGAGCUACUCCCUCAUCAUCAUGGACUCCGCCGGUAUGAUGAAGAUGGCCACCAGCGAUGAAUUCCCCUAUCCGACAGGGUACCGGAAAGGCUCCAGAUGGGUUUUCUGUUGAUAGAGAGAGUUGCGCCGGCGGAGCAAAAGUACUCUCUUUAUUUCUGGGGUUUCUGGUAUGUAUAGGAUUUUCCAGUGUUGGAAUCACGCCAAACAGAGCCAUGCGGUCCCCACAAGCCAUCAGGGCGCGGCCUAGGAGGAUGCCCUGUUAGCUUGUGGGCCAAAGGGGGCUCCCCUUUGGUGGUUCUUCGCUGCAAUAUUUCUUAUUUCCUCUAGAAAAAAAAGGUUUCGCUUCAUUUUGUGCAGAAAACAACACAAUGGUAAUUCUGCUAAAAACAACGUCAGUCCAGGUUAGUUUUAAAUAAAUCAUAUAAAGUGUAUCAAAACCAUAUAAAAGUAUUGUAAACAUAGGCAAACAUGACAUGAAUUACUUCAUAAACUAUCGAUGCGUUGGAGACGCAUCAGCAUCCCCAAGCUUAAUUCCUACUCGUCCUCGAGUAGGUAAAUGAUAAAAAUAAUAAUUUAUGAAGUGUGAAUGCUAGCAUAGUAUAUAAGUUUGAUCAAUGAUAAUUCCAAUCACUUUUUCUAGCAUCAUAACCAACAACUUUUUCAUAAAAAUCAUCAUGGUUGGGUAGCAAUCAAUUCACAUGUCAUGGUUUAAACAAUGCAUUCUCUUGAAACUCAACAUCAUAUGUUCUUAUUCAUCAAACAAUUUCAAUGCAUCAUCAAGUCUAAGUAAGAGCUCCACAUACUCAAUUAUCAUAUAGUCUUCUAUGAUUGCUAAUAUUCAAAGCAUAUUUUUAGAACAAAUAACAUCCAUCGAACACAAAGAAAGAUAGGGGCUUAAUGUUUCGCCUCCUAACAUAUUUAUCAUAAAGAUAAUUGCCAACAAUAAUGAAUCAUGAUCAAAUAUAUUUGAGUGGGUAUAUAUGUUUGGAUCUUUCCCCAUCAGAUGGCGCUUGCCAACUAAUAGACCGAUGUUGGAAUAAGAAGUUGACUCAACAUGAAAAGUAAUUAACAUGGAAGUAAAUAGAUUGUACCUUCAUAGAGGGAAGCAUGGAUUUGUAGAGGGGCCAGAACUCAUUGUUUUAAAAUAGAGAUGAAUAUGUAAUUUUGGGUGGUGUGCCUUUUGUGUCAACGUCACUACAGAGUUUUCAAUAUCUUCCAUGCUAAUCACAUUAUUGGCGGUUCCCAAACAGAAUAGAAACUUUACCCCCCUCCACCAUUCAAACACAUUCCCUGGCUAGUCGUAUCCAUGGGUACCAUCCAAACCAUCAACUUUAUAGGGGGAGUUCUUGUUUAUUUAAUUUUGUAUUAUGCAGGACUAGACAUCCUUUUUAGCAACCUCUCUCAUGCAAUGACAUGUGAAUAAACACUCAUCUUGAGAAUAACUCGCUUAACAUGAAAGAUAAUGACCGCCCCGUCACUCCAUGAGUGGUACGAGCACACAAAAUGGAUGUUUAUUUGAAUGUUUAGAGGUGUCACAUGCAAAUUUACUUGGAAUGGCAAUGAAAAUACCGUAUAUAGGUAGGUAUGGUGGACUCUUAUGGAAGAAACUUGGCUCAGGGAUUUGGAUGUACAUGUAGUAUCUCUACUUAGUACGAAGGUUAGGCUAGCAAAAGGUUCUAAACAAUCACCACAUGUUGGAGAGUCCAUAACAAUAUAACUUCUAUGCAAAUAUACCCAAACAUAACCAUUACGUUGUUGUCUUCCUUGUACAACUUCAACUAUUUUAUGAAGGCUUAAAAUAAUUAAUGGGUACUCACAAUCAUAAAAGAUGUCCAAUAUAAUAUAUUUGUAUGUGAAAGUUCUUUUUCUUAUACUAAUUAUUCAUGAAUUGCUUGUAUGACCAAUAUUGUGAGUGUCAAACUUCAAUAGUUUUUCACUUUCUAAACAAAGUGUGAAACUACUACUAAGCAUAAAGCACGUUGAUAAUUUCAUAUUUAUCAUAUUUAAUUCAUUCACAAUUUACUCUUAGUAUAUAAGUGAAGCACAAGAGUAAACAUCAAACUACUCUCAAAACAUAUAAUUGAAGAUCAAUGAGUAGUCAAACAAUUAAGUAGAUAUGUGAGGACUCUCUCUCAAUAAAGAUUUUCAGAUCUUAGAAUUUUAUUUCAAACAUGAAGGAAAACAAAAUAUACAUUCCAAGAAUAGCACAUAUCAUGUGAACAAAAUAAAACUUAGGAUCAACAUAGGCUAACCGAUAUUUAUCGAUGAAGAGGGGUGGGAUUCGUAGCAUCCCCAAGCUUAGAAUCUUGAGACUUCUUGAAAUAUUUACUUGGGGUGGCUUGGGAAUCCCCAAGCUCGAUAUUUUGCAUCUCUUUCAAUCCUCUCAUAUCCUGGUUUCACCUAAGUCUCAGAAACUUCAUCCACAAUACUUGAAAAGAACUCGUGAGAUAGGUUAGCGUACAUAAGAAUAAAUCAACUCUUUAUGUGCUACCAAGAAAAGUUGCAUGAUAAUUUCAAAAUAUCAUCUACCGUUUACUAUCAUUUCCACAAUUUAUAUCUACCAAUGUAGUCUGUGGAAACUAUAGGAUAAGUAGAUAACAAAACUAUGCCAGCAGUGUGUCUAAACAGGACAUUCAGUAGCAAUUAAUUCAAAAAGUAUACCUCUGUAAAUCAAAAAAUCUGACAAUUUAGGACAUGAUAAAGUAUUUGUAUUAUAUAAUUGUGUAAAACUUCAGAAACUUUCCUUGUUCUAGUAAAAUCUGAUAAUUCAAAUACUACAUGGAAAGUUUCUGUUUUUAUACACCACAUAUCACAAAUGCAAUUCAAGCAUCUAAAGACAAUUCUUGGAACUUUUUAUUGAAUAACAAGAAUAUAAAUAACAUAUAAUAGAGAAGAACAAAAUAAAAUGACCCUCCAAGCAAAAUACAUAUCAGUGAUGAAUAAAAAUAUAGCUCCAAUUAAGAUAUACCGAUAAUGUUGUAUACGAAAGAGGGGAUGCCUUCUGGCGCAUCCCCAAGCUUAGACGCUUAAGUAUUCCUUGGAUAUUACAUUAGGGGUGCCUUGGGCAUCCUCAGUAUUAGGUUAUUUCUGCUCCCUAUUCUCCUUAUAUUGGUAUCUCACCAAAAAAUUGAAAACUUCAAUCACACAAAACUUAACGGAACUUUGUGAGACGGGUUAGUGUAAUAAAGAUAGAUCAUUCACUUAGGUACUAUCAUAAUAAGAUUUAUAAUUGCUAUCACAUGAUACAUACUGUAUUCUAUCAUUUCCAUAAUUUAUAUCACUAAAUAUAAGCUAUAGAAACACUAAACACAAGCAAACUAUGCAUGCAAAACAGAUGUGUGAAAAAUAUAAGAGUCCGUGAAUAUCUGACUCAACACCAUACUUUCCCAACUCUAAAACUUCUGAACAAUUAGGAUAACACAUAGAAUUUUCAUAUGCAAACUAUGUAAAAGUUUCAGAUUUUUUUGACAUUCUAGUAAAAUGAGAGAAAUUCUGCACUCGACGUAAAAGUUUCUGUUUUUGCAAAGAAUCAAACAAGCAAAUAUCCACAUUAUCCCAAAGGCUUUACUUGGCACCUUAUUGAAAUAAAUGACACAAAAUAUGAUUACUACAGUAGAUUAAUCAUGUGAACACAUGAAAAUAGAAAGUAAAAGUGUUGGGUUAUCUCCCAACAAGUGCUUUUCUUUAAUACAUUUUAUCUAGGCAUGAUGAUUCCAAUGAUGCUCACAUAGGAAUAGUAUUUGAAACAUGCAAGAGAGCAUCAUGAAUCACAUUGCAAGCACAUUUAAGUCUAACCCACUUCCUACACAUAGGGAUUUUUAAGCAAACAAUUUAUUGUAGCAAGAAUCAACUUGCAUAAGAAGGCAAAACAAGCAUAACUUCAAAAUCUUGAACACAUAGAGAGGACACUUGAUAUUAUUGCAAUACCUACAAGCAUAUGUUCCUCUAUCAUAAUAAUUUCCAGUAGCAUCAUGAAUGAAUUAAACAAUAUAACUAUCACAUAAAUCAUUUUUUCAUGAUGCACAAUCAUAGAAUUUUAUUACUACCCACACAUGCAAAAUUCUUAUCAUUCAUAGUAGUGGGAGCAAACUCAACAAAAUAACUAUCAUGAGAUACUUGAUUGAUAUAAUUCAUGCGAUCAUUAAAAUCAUGACGACAAGUUUCAUGGUUAUCCUUAUUCUUUAUAGCAUAAAUAUCAUCACAAUAAUAAUCAUAGAUAGGAGGCAUGAUUUCAUCAUAAUAAAUUUGCUCAUAAAAACUUGGGGGACUAAAAAUAACAUCUUCAUCAAACAUAGCAUUCCCAAGCUUGUGGCUUUGCAUAUCAUUAGCAUCAUGGAUAUUCAGAUAAUUCAUACCAACAAUAUUGCUACCAUUCUCAUCAUUCAAGGAUUCACAUUAAGCAUUUUCAUAAAUUCUUCCUUUAGCAAUUGAGCACAAUUUUCUGAACCAUCAUUUUCGCGGAAGACAUUAUAAAGACGAAGCAAAUGAGGUAACCUAAACUCCAUUUUUUGUAGUUUUCUUUUAUAAAAACAAACUAGUGAAAAACAAGCAACUAAAAGAUUUAAUUGCAAGAUCUAAAGAUAUACCUUCAAGCACUCACCUCCCCGGCAAGGGCGCUAAAAAGAGCUUGAUGUCUACACAACUUUAUUCUUGUAGACUAUGUUGGGUUUCCAGCCGCAGAGUUUUGUAGGAGACUAGCAAUUUUCCUUCAAGUGAAUGACCUAAGGUUUAUCAAUCCAUGGGAGGUGUAGGAUGAAGAUGAUCUCUCUCAAACAACCCUGCAAUAAAAUACAAAAAAUCUCUUGUGUCCCCAACACACCCAAUACAAUGGCAAAUUGUAUAGGUGCACUAGUUCGGCGAAGAGACGAUACAAGUGUAGUAUGAAUAGUAGAUAUAGGUUUUUGUAAUCUAAAAGUAUUAAAAUAGAAAGGUAGCAAGUGUAAAACGGCGAGCAAAACGUUGUAUGAAUGCUUGGAAAUGCUAUCAUAAUAGAAUCAUAUGAUCAUCCCCUCAACGUGCAAUAAUGAAUCACUCCAAAGUUCCUAUCUAGCGGAGAACAAUAAGAUGAAAUUGGUGUAGGUAGUAGAACCACCUCAAAGUUAUACUGUAUGAUCAAUCUUUUGAGCUAUUCUUAUAAGUGUCACAAACAGCCCUAGAGUUCGUACUAGAAUAACACCCAUGAUACAUAUCAAUCAACCCUAAUGCUUCCUAGAUACUCCAAUGUCACCUCAAGUAUCCAUGGGUAAAUUAUUUGACAUGCAUAAAACAAUUUCAUAUCUAAUAUAUUCAAUCCAACACAAAGAACUUCAAGGUGCACCCAAUAUUUCUAUCGGAUAACGUAGUAUGAAAACGUGCAAUCAACCCCUAUGCAUAGACCCCCAAGGUCAUUGGAAUCCGCAAGUUGAUGUCAUAACAUAUAUCAAGUGAAUCACUUGAAUACCCCAAUGUCACUACGGGUAUUCGCAUGCAAGACAUACAUCAAGUGUUCUCAAACCAAAGUAUUCAAUCCAACAUAACAAGUUCUUAAAGGGAGAGAUUCAAUUCAUCACAACGAGAUGUUACGACAACAAAGGACAACCUCGUCGCCGCCGAGAGAGGGAAUGGGAGUGUGGUUGGGGUUUGAACCCAUGGCAGCGGAAGCGGGAUUAUGCCCGAAAGGAUUGAACAACUCCUCUGCGACUGAUACAAUGUAAACAAGAUUAGGAUUCAACACACUUUGCAUUAGCUUAAAGGUUGUGUAUAUGUACACUUACAGGGUCAUAACCGUGGCUAGGACGUGUGUCACUACCUCAGUAAGCCCACUACAACCACUAACACGGGCUAGGCCGUGGGCACAACCGUUCACGGUGACCACUACGUCAACGCACGCACGCGCACAGGUCAUGUGUACUGAAAAAUUGUAAAAAGGAUCAUUAACAUGAGUUUUUCUUACAAAAUUAACAAUCAAAUCUAGCUUAUACAGCUAGAAAAUGGGACAACUAGACCAACCGAUGUACUCCCCCUGUUCCUAAAUAUAAGUAUUUUUACAGACUCCACUCUAAAGAAAAUGGGACAACUACAACAAAGUGAGUGAACCUACACUCUAAAGUGUGUAGAUAUACAUCCAUAUGUAGUCUCUUAGUGAAACCUUUAAAAAGAUUUAUAUUUAGAAACGAAGAAAGUAGAAAUGACCUUAAACAAAGGAGAAAUUACAACCAAAACUCUGGACCUUAGAAUUCUCACCAAAGUUGUAGCCGAUAUCAUUGCGACACAAUAGCUCUCAUGAGCGAUAGACCUGUAGAGGACCAAACCUUGUUCAAUAACUGUAGCAUUAAACCACCAUAAAUGGUGGAUAUUAUCAAUCAUGCCAAGCUCUUCGACGAGGGCAUCACCUGAUCUAGGCAAACAACCACUCUAGCAUAGCUAGACCAGGGGGUGACCUUGCUCAAAAGUAGUGUCAUAAGUGAAGGCUGUCGCCGAUACCCAUGGAGCCACGUCGAUGGACAAUAAACAAAUCUCCUUGGCAACACCGGACGGGUCACCACAAUGAUGAGAUUAGAGUGUGAGAACUUCCGUUCAAGAUGACACCACCAUCAUUGUUCAAAUGAUGUUACCAAAACACAAACAAAUAUCCAAAAAGAACCUCCCCUACACAAUAAGAAAGACGAGGAUCUCCUCCCCUUUGCCCCCAUAACAUCGAAGUGGUAGUUGGAGGCACACAGGAGCUACAAUAAGAUAUGGAUAGAUCAUCAAAUGAAUCUUAUCUUUAUUAUGGCUUAAAAGGGUUUUAUGUGUUUUUGUUUAGCUAAACUAACAUAUUAUAUUUAUUUUUGAAAAUAGUUACAUCAUCCGCUAAAUACAUACACCAGGAAAAAUGAGGGAUUCAUAUUGGCUUCCCUAAGGCAGUGCUCAAAUGAAACUUGUGAAAAACUACGACAUAAAACAUACAAGUCUUCAUUACUAGACAUAUUGGUUUCAUGCAGGGGCGGACCUAGAAACUAUUUUAAGUGGGGGCAAAUAAUAGGAGUGGGGGCACACUUUGUACAAAUUUACAUAGUUUUGGCAAAAAAUUCUAAAAUUUCAAAGAAAUAUAACUGGAGUUUCAUAUUUUGAGUGGGGUCCUAGGCCCCCACUCCCAUGAAUGUGGGUCCGCCCCUGGUUUCAUGUGUUGUUUAGUAGAGAGGAUUCUCUUAAUCAUAGAUGAAAUUUUUAAAAAAGAAAAUGGAAAUUAAAGUUCUUUGAUCGAAAAAAGAAAUUUAAACCGGUAAGAUUACACUUGCCCUACCAAAGUUAAGUAGGUCUCCAUUCAAAUAAAAAAGGGGCAUGCUACGCGUCAUUUGCCGUAUCUUUUCAGAAAGAUCCGUCGCCUUACAAGUCGUCCGAUACAUGAUGCAAGUUGUGAGUUCCUCUUCUCUAAUUUUCUGUAAUAAUACUCUUAUUGCGAAACUCUUUUUUUUUAAAUUUCCUGCAAUAAUGCAUUUGAUACGAAUCCCCUCUUCUCUAGUUUCCUCCAAGAAGUCCCUUGUUGUAUUUUUUUUCUAAAUUUUUUGUAACAAGACCUUUGUUGCAAAAAAUGCAAACACAUCUCCCGUAGUGUUCAAUUUUCUGUAACAAGACACUUGUUGCGAAAGUUGCAACAACAUCUCCAGCCGCAUCGCGCACUAACACAAUCGUCUUUUGUUGUCGUUGUUCUGUUGUUAUAUAAAUUUGGAGCGGACAUGAAGGUACGACAUGGUGAUGUGGCUGCUGCUAGAGUUGGUGGUGCCCAAAACGGCACAACUGAAACAAGAGGUGAGUUGCAAAAACUGUAUUAGGAUAAUGAUUGCUUUUAAAUAAUUCGAUUCAAAUAAAAUCCAACGGUUACAAAGGAGGUGGACGCGUACACAAACGUUCGCCGAUUGGACGAUAGCUUUUUCCAAUAAAAAAACGUCAAGUAAGCCUAGAAAUGAGGAUGGACCGUGGACGCGACCUAACCUUUUUUUAAGCACAGGCCUAGUUCUGGACCGCAAUAGCCCAAUCGACCAAUGUGAUUCGGUACGGCCCACGGGUCUGACGGAUGGAAUGGACGCGCCCUAACUCGCAGAUCGCACUUCGCAAGCCGCGCCGCCGCCGCUCCCCACGCUCGUCGGGCACACGCCGUCAAACCACUCCACUCCACCCACCCGUCCGCCGUCUCCCACGCNCGGCGGCGAGCCCAGCGAUAGGGCAAAGCGCGACUGAAUCGGCGUGCAAUCGGAGGCGCCGGGCGGGGGCGGCACCGCGGCAGGCUGCCAGCGAAUCGGUCGGUUGCCGCUCCGUUCGUCUUCGUCUGAUGGCUGUCGACGCCAUGUUCCCUGUCCUGCGCUUCUCCGACUACUUCACCCGGCCGUCCAUCGACGAGCUGGUCGAGAGGGAGGCGGCUGACCCGGGCUACUGCAGCAGGGUUCCAGAUUUCGUCGUCGGCAGGGUGAGGUAUGGGCAGGUUAAGUUCUCUGGCAGCACCGACGUGAGGGGGCUGGACCUGAACGAAAUCGUCAAGUUUGGCCGCCAUUCUGUGGUGGUUUACGGGGACGAGGCUGGCAAGCCGGCCGUAGGGCAUGGCUUAAAUAAAGCCGCGGAGGUGACGCUGAAGCUGGAUUUGAGUACACUUCCGAAACCCGGUGUCCUAGUCGAGUUGCUAAGGUGCCGCACGAAGAAGCAAGGCGCUAGGUUUCUCUCAUUCAAUCCUGUGAAUGGUAACUGGAAGUUCCAGGUCGACCACUUCAGUAGGUUUGGGCUUGUGGACGAGGAGGAAGAUGAUGUUGCCAUGGAUGAGCCGGUUGUUCGACAACCGGUUGCUGAAGCAAGAGACCCACCUCCAAAUGGGCAUGAGCUGGAGCUUUCGCAUUCGUUGCCUGCUCAUCUUGGGCUUGACCCUGCAAAGAUGCAGGAAAUGCGGAUGGCAUUGUUUCCCAAUGAUGAAGAAGACGAAGAUAUGGAGGAUGGCUUUCCAUCUGAUCACAGACACCUCAGCAGAGAAAGGAUGAAUGUGGAUUCACCCAACACAAGUGGUAAAGGUCAGAGGAUGAGGUCUCUGUCUCCUUUGCAUGGUUCUUCUCAGAAAUUUGGAAGGAGAUCUGGUGUGCUUGCAAGGAAAGAACCACAUGCACUGCUGGAAUACAAUGUAAAAUCUACAGAGCUUGGUCCAUCUUCUCAUGGUAUUCUCAUGUCUGGAAAAAACAAGGGAUUUCCGGUGAGAAUGACCAAGGUAGAAGGCUUCAAACUACCAGCUGAGCAAGCAACUCCUGUUGCUGGAAAAGUAUAUUCUAACUGUGUAGUGGAUGCUGCUUUAUUUAUGGGUAGAUCAUUUCGAGUUGGUUGGGGACCAAAUGGCAUCCUUCUCCAUUCUGGUAGUCUUGUCAAUGCUCCUGGGACAGGCCUUUCUUCUGUUAUUCACAUAGAGAAAGUAGCAGGUGAUAAAGUUGUGCGUGAUGAGCAGAACAAAGUUAAAGAGGAGCUGGCAGAACUAUGUUUCUCGGACCCAAUGGACCUCCAUAAGAGGCUUGACCGCGAACUUCUGGAAACCGAGUCUGGCUCGUUUAAAUUAAAACUUCAGAAAGUUGUGGCAAGUCGUUUGGUUUUGCCAGAUAUUUGCAGAUCAUAUAUUGAUAUCAUCGAAAGACAGCUAGAAAUCAGCGAUUUAUCCAUGUCUUCACGUGUGCUGUUAAUGCACCAAGUUACAGUUUGGGAGUUAAUUAGGGUCCUGUUCUCAGAGAGAGAAGCUGGUAACCAGUUGGAAUUUAGUGGCGAUGAGGAUCAGGAGGGCAUGAUUUUGGAUAAGAAAGAAGGUUCUGUGAACAUAGAUCCUGAAGCACUGCCUUUGGUUAGGAGAGCAGACUUUAGCAAUUGGUUACAGGACAGUGUUUGUCAUCGGGUACAAGGAGAGGUGGGUUCCUUAAGUGAUGCCAGGUACUUGGAGCAUAUUAUUCUGCAUUUGUCUGGUCGGCAACUGGACACAGCCACAGAAAUUGCUGCUUCAAGGGGCGAUGUCCGCUUGGCAGUCCUGUUAAGCCAGGCAGGUGGAUCGAUGUUAAAUCGUUCUGAUGUUGCUCAGCAGCUGGAUCUGUGGAAAAUAAAUGGUCUGGACUUUGAUUAUAUUGAGGAAGACAGGUUAAGGAUUUAUGAGUUGCUUGCUGGUAACAUACAAGGCGCGUUACUUGAUUCACCAAUCGACUGGAAAAGGUAUCUUGGUUUAAUCAUGUGGUAUCAGUUGUCACCAGAUACAUCACUUGACAUUAUCAUUCAGUGUUAUCACCAACUACUUGGUGAGGGCAAAGUUCCAAAUCCUGUUCCUGUAUACAUCGAUGAAGGACCUCUUGAGGAAGCACUUCAGUGGUCCCCAGGUGACCGUUUUGACAUAUCUUUUUAUUUAAUGCUUCUUCAUGCCAACCGAGAUGAGAAGUUUGAGCUUCUAAAAACUAUGUUCAGUGCAUUCUCGUCAUCGUAUGAUCCCUUAGACUACCAUAUGAUCUGGCAUCAACGAUCUAUUCUUGAAGCUAUUGGUGCUUUCAGUACAAAGGAUCUUCAUGUACUGGAUUUGAGUUUUGUCCAUCAGUUACUAUGUCUUGGGAAGUGUCAUUGGGCUAUCUACGUCAUUCUGCAUAUGCCACAUCUGGAUGAUGCCCCUUACAUCCAUGAAAAGUUAAUCAGGGAAAUUUUGUCACAGUAUUGUGAGAUAUGGAGCAAAGAUGGGGCUCAGAGGCAAUAUAUUGCAGAACUUGGUAUACCAGCAGAAUGGAUACAUGAGGCUCUGGUUAGUAGCAAUAUCGUAACUUCCUGCUAAUUAUCUGACCUGCAGUCAAUGUGUUUUCUUUGAUGAAAAUAUGUCUAACCAUUGAUUACAAAUAUUUAUGAAUGCCACUACGAGAACACUAAGCAUGAUCCUGCUUAGCUGACAAUACCUAUAUGCAGGCUCUUUAUCACGAAUAUUAUGGAGAUCGACAAGGUGCACUGGGAAAUUAUAUUCAAUGCGGCAAUUGGAAUAAAGCUCAUACUAUUUUCAUGACAUCUGUUGCUCAUUCUUUGUUUCUGUCAUGUAAGUCUUCCCUACAAUGCACUAAACAAUAGUUGUAAAGACCCGAUUCAAUGUUUCACUUUCCUACCUACAUAAAUAUGCAGCUAAACCUACUUGGCUACUCCUCCAGAACCUAAUCAAAUGAAGAUUCUUGUGAAUUUCCAUGCUAUUCUCUUAGUUACACUUUCGUUCAUAAAAAUAUGUAUGACUGAGGAUAUCUUAUCAAUUUUGUACUGUUUCUGUUAAUAAACAUUGCAUGAGUUUGUAAUUGCUUGUUUCUUCGGCAUAUGGUUCAGCAAAACAUCAAGAAAUCUUUGACAUUACAAGCGCUUUGGAGAAUCACAGAUCUGAAAUUGCUGACUGGGAUGUUGGGGCUGGAAUAUACAUAGAUUAUUUCGUUAUAAAAAACUCUAUGCAAGAAGAAAGUACUAUGGACGAUGAUUCAGUAAGUAUUUUUACCCAUCAAAGUUUACCUGAAUAUUUCAGAGUCGACACAAUCUUACUUUAUCUUCCAGGACACACUUGAGGGGAAAAAUGAAUUGUGCAAGAGUUUCUUUGAUCGAUUAAAUGAGUCGCUGAGUAUCUGGGGAAGCAAAUUACCCAUUGAGGCAAGGUAAGAUGGUAUCCGUUGAUGUAAUAGAUCUACAACCUGCUAGUAAUCAAAUAUUGAUGUUUACAUGAAAUUGUUUGGACUUUCAUGUCAUGUUUGAACUGAAGUAAUCCUGCUUCUAAGAAACAUAAUUUUGAUUUGCAGUGUUGACAAGUUCCCAUAUAAUUAGAUUCUUUGCAUAGAGCCACAUAUUAAUUUGCACCUGAACUGUAUAACCCAUUUCCAAAUCCAAGCUUCUUAGUCACAAUGGAAAUCGUGGUUAUUCCUUACACGAUUUGGCUGAUUCUUUAAAUCCAUCAACACAUACUGGUAUUCUUAUUUAUUUUAAAACAAAGUUUGAGGCCCAUUCUCAUGCUUGUGUAACUGCGGCAGGGCAUGCUUCUCGAAGAUGGCAGAGGAGCUCUGUGAGCUUCUAAUGAGCUUCCCCGGCGAUGGCUCGACGCCAGAUCUCUUCAUGGGCUGCUUCCAGACGAUGCUUGAUGCCCCUGUCCCCGAUGACCACAGGGCGUCCUACCUGCAGGAGGCAGUCUCUGUUUUCACCAACAUACUUUGCGAGUACUCAUCCUAGUCCUAUGGGACUCAUGGCAUAGUUCCUACGGAUGAUCCAUGACAUAGUUCCUAUGGUGCUCAAGUCAGUCACGGAAUCCGGGUUGCGCAAGAGCUCUGAAUUGGCACACCACGCAUUUGGAACAAGUUACAGAGAUUCCCAUGUCUGAAGCUGAGGGAAAUGUAGAACAUUGCCAUGGUCGGUGCAGACAAUUGCCCACCCCUGCAAACGCAUGAGGAAACCUGACGAUAUUUUUCUGCACGCGUGCCACUUUUCUUGUAACCCGUGUGCCGCACCCAUUCGGGCAUCGUCUUUUUUGUUAUUAUUGUUACGUAGAACAAUAACUCAUGUAGGGUUGUAGUAGAGUGUUUGUGUGUGUUGAAAUGCCAAAGAGUCGGUUGUAGAUUUAUCGCAGGCAAUACGUAGGCUGAUCUUGUUGUUUUGUGGCGUGCGGAUACUGCUUUUCGCGAACCAUGUGAAAGCUGUGGUUUGUUCAAAGGAGAGCGACGAGUGCUUUCGGUGUAAUACCGGGGACGGUAGCAGCACAGCCCACAUGCGUGGGUCACCGGUUUUCGCUCGUUCUCCGUAUGGUGUGUGUCAAGUAGUAUUUCUCAUCGGCCAAAUCAUUGGAGGAAAUGGUUUAUCUUCACGGCAGGAGACAGCGACGCGUUCGCUUCCCACUCACAAGGCACCGUACACCUUCUUCCUUUUCGUAAUAGCAUCAAGUACGGCCGGCUCGAGAAUUCGUCGUCAUAGUCAUCGUUCUAAAACAAAAGGGAUUUCGUCGGUACGUGCUUGCCGUCGUGUACUCCAAGUCGCCAACAACCGGAAGAUAAAACAAGAUUUGUGCCCGUGACUGUGCAGGGGCCUGGAAGAUACAUAUCUCCAACGCCAAUAGCCCCGUGCCUUGCCACCACGUUUGCCACGUCGGGUUCCGGCGACGGCGAGGGUCGCGAACCCACCACCGGCCAACGGGAUUUUAUAGAAGGAGACCGACCACCGAAAACAGCUCCCGCAGCAGGUGGCGCCCAACGGCACCCGGUAAUAAACAAAACCGGCGAUGGCGACACGAACCCACGACGCAGAGUCUUAUCCGGACCGAGCAGAGCACACCGAGUAGCGAGACCCGUCCCGGUAUCCUAUAAAAUGCACCUCACAUCGGAGGAUCCAUCCACAGCAUACAGAGCAAACCAAAGCAUCCAGGUUCCAGAGCAGCAGCAGUUUCGAGCUGAGUUGAGUGUUCUUGGGGUUGCCAAUGGCGGACAUCGCGAUGCUGGUGGCGGAGGAGCACGAGAAGAGGCUGAAGCGAGGGGCGCCCCGCGUCGUCGCCGCCGCGGCCGCCGACGAGGAGGAGGAGGCGUCCAAGGNNNNNNN